This is an RNA transcript of Gigantopelta aegis, 581 nucleotides long. RefSeq lists it as uncharacterized. The record is from RefSeq and is a predicted model, not a curated record. NCBI's taxonomy places the organism in Eukaryota, Metazoa, Mollusca, Gastropoda, Neomphalida, Peltospiridae. The transcript has 4 exons.
GGGCGAGACGUCUGUCGUAAGUUAGCUUGGAAGUGGUGUGAUUUGACAUUAACUGAUGUGAACAGAAUAAUUUGUGAACAUUUUUAUUUUUAUGUGCUAAAUAUUGUGAUAAGUUAAUGCAAGUUUGUGAUGACGUCAACCCUACACCGGGACCAACGUCAGGUAUUGGUCUAAAUAUCACAGAGUGCAACAAAGUCUUUCUCCCCGAAUUUGUCGCCAUCUUGUCUAACAAUUCGUUUGGUCAGGCAGUUCUUGAUCAUCUCGGCAUUCACCAGUCACACACUACGCCAGCGCCUGAAGACGACCCUCAAUUAAUUUAUAACGACUGCCAGGCGGACUUCCUUCCAGACUUUGUCGCCAUCUUGUCCAACAGCACCAUGGGACAAGCAGUGUUGGAAAACCUGCAACAGCAAGGACUGGUUACCUUCAGAUUGUCACGUGCGUAACCUGGGUAGCCAUCUUGUAUCCAGACCAUGUGCGUACACGAAGCUGGUCGAGUGGAUACAACCGUAUGUUGAAAACAAACACAUACAGAUAUAUACGUCAUAUCCAGUGCAUACAUUAAAUAUGGCAAAAACAAA